RNAcentral lists this ribosomal RNA (305 nucleotides) under uncultured bacterium. RNAcentral's name for it is "bacterial SSU rRNA". It matches the Rfam family "Bacterial small subunit ribosomal RNA", at positions 334 to 637 of the family's 1533-position model. The record is from RNAcentral.
GUGCCUACGGGGCGCAGCAGUGAGGAAUAUUGGUCAAUGGGCGGGAGCCUGAACCAGCCAAGUCGCGUGAGGGAUGACGGUCCUACGGAUUGUAAACCUCUUUUGCCGGGGAGCAAGCGUGCGUUCGUGAACGCGCGUCGAGAGUACCCGGAGAAAAAGCAUCGGCUAACUCCGUGCCAGCAGCCGCGGUAAUACGGAGGAUGCGAGCGUUAUCCGGAUUUAUUGGGUUUAAAGGGUGCGUAGGCGGUCCGUUAAGUCAGCGGUAAAAUUGCGGGGCUCAACCCCGUCGAGCCGUUGAAACUGGC